AAGACUAUACUUUCAGGGAUCAUUUCUAUAGUUUGUUACUAGAAUGUAAAUAAACUUAGUGAUGAAUUACUAUAAGCAUCUACACAAUCAUAUUUUACUUUGAGUAAUGAUGAAAUCCUAGCUAAAAUAACUUCUGUUCUGCCUGGUCAUAUUUCUAGAUAUGAUAGGUUUGUCUUCAGCUCUAUCGUUGCAUGAAUGUGAUGAGAUGUAUGC
This 213-nucleotide small nucleolar RNA is filed under the name Homo sapiens (human). RNAcentral describes it as "C/D snoRNA (SNORD3@L5)". The stretch from base 1 to 77 matches the Rfam family "Small nucleolar RNA U3". Lineage: Eukaryota; Metazoa; Chordata; Mammalia; Primates; Hominidae. The record is from RNAcentral.